GGAGAGAUGGCCGAGAGGUCUAAGGCACUUGACUCGAAAUCAAGCGUGGGGGCAACUCCACCGUGGGUUCGAAUCCCACUCUCUCCG
Molecule: transfer RNA, 87 nt
Filed under: Caloramator australicus RC3
Lineage: Bacteria; Bacillati; Bacillota; Clostridia; Eubacteriales; Clostridiaceae
Rfam family: tRNA
About the family: Transfer RNA (tRNA) molecules are approximately 80 nucleotides in length. Their secondary structure includes four short double-helical elements and three loops (D, anti-codon, and T loops).
Source: Rfam by way of RNAcentral